Molecule: long non-coding RNA, 1653 nt
Filed under: Malus domestica (apple)
Lineage: Eukaryota; Viridiplantae; Streptophyta; Magnoliopsida; Rosales; Rosaceae
Description: long non-coding RNA (MDOM_LNC009795)
Source: RNAcentral
ACAUGAAACCGGAUCCCAAAGUGUUAACCAAUCUCCAUCUCUACCGUUAUCUCAAAUAUCCUUUUCAUUCUUCUUACCUCACAAAACCAUCAGAGUUAUUUGAAGGACUCAUACAUUCACCAACUACAUCAUCCUCCAUCCAAACCUUGACUUAACAUGUGACCAUUACCCCAAGUGUGUUGGAAGUAGAUGCUAAACUACUUCAAUAUGAAAUUUCAGGGAUACACUUUCAAAAUUUAGGAAUUAGAAACAUUUAGUGAGAGAAAAUUUCAAGAGCGACAUUAAACUAGAAAAAUCAUCCUCAUUAUCCAUGAGAGAGGAGGAAAAAAUAUUUAUGAAUUUGGUGGUGGUGGAGAAAAUGCUCAAAAAGAAGUACAUGCUAAAACUACUUCAAUAUGAAAUUUCAGGGAUACACCUUCGAAACUUAGGAAUUAGAAACAUUUAGUGAGAGAAAAAUUCGAGAGAACCGUUAAACUAGAAAAAUCAUCAUCAUCAUCCGUGAGAGAGGAGGAAAAAAUAUUUAUGAAUUUGGUGGUGGUGGUGGUGGUGACUUCAAUAUGAAAUAUCAGGGAUACACUUUCGAAACUUAGGAAUUUGAAACAUUUCAUGAGAGAAAUUUUUUAGAGCAACAUUAAACUAGAAAAAUCAUCCUCAUUAUCCAUGAGAGAGGAGGAAAAAGUCUAGAUUGAGUAUUUACAACAAGCUAUACAUCUCUUUUGUCCCCCAACUAAAGAAGCCCGCUUCUGAGGCAUUUAGGGGACUCCUCGUAGAAUCAGGCUCUUGAGCUUGCAUACAAUGUGAAGAAAAACAGAAUUCUAAAGCAAUUCACUAUGAAAUCAUAUCCAUUGAUUAAUCAUCAGCAUAGGUUUGUGUGCUUCUUCAGUUUAGAUAUCAAAUCCUAUCCCUAUCAAUUUCAAUAGUUUUCUAUGAACUCAUAUCUUUUGUCCUCCAACUAAAGAAGCCAGCUAUUGAGGCACUUCAAGGGGACUCCUUAUAUUAUCAGGCUCUUGGUCUUGCAUAGAGUUUGAAGAAGGGGUGGUGCUAUCAACACACCUCCAAUCGAAUGAAUUGAAGACGACCAAAAGAACAUAAAUUAACAAGGAGUGUGUGGGAUGUAAAAAUGGGUGUGUGGAUAGCACAACCCUUGAAGAAAAAGGGUUCUAAAACAAUUCAUUGUGAAAUUAAAAUAGUCCUGGACUAUUCAUCAGCAUAGCUUUGUGUGCUUAAUUUAUCGAUAGUUUCCCCAAAACAAGGAUGAAGGAUCUACAUAUCAAUACCACGCAAUCCAGAACGUAUGUACACACCCAUAAACAUAUGCAUACAGAUGGAAACGCAAUUGUUUGCAUACAAAUCUUUAAUUAGGAAAAAAAAAAAACUGAAUUCAGGGUCAGGUCAAGGUGAUGAGGCAACCGCAGAUGCAAGGCUAAAUUGAUGUGUGCCUAGUGCUUAGUCAAAUGUCAUUAUGCACAGGCCGGCAGAUGCAAGUAAGUAAAACACCAAAAAUUGAUCCUAAGUAAGUAGAGUCUGUGGAGUAUUCAAGGAUGUGGUUGGAAAUUAGCAAGAAAAUUUGAUGGGAUGGGAUGCCUGUAAGAUUUUGAAACAGACGACAGAAUAUAUUGAGAAAAAAAAAGAGAGAGAAAGGGAUAAAGGGAC